GUGCCAGCAGCCGCGGCGGUAAUACGGAGGGUGCAAGCGUUAAUCGGAAUUACUGGGCGUAAAGCGCACGCAGGCGGUCUGACAAGUCGGAUGUGAAAUCCCCGGGCUCAACCCGGGAACUGCAUUCGAAACUGUCAGGCUGGAGUCUUGUAGAGGGGGGUAGAAUUCCAGGUGUAGCGGUGAAAUGCGUAGAGAUCUGGAGGAAUACCGGUGGCGAAGGCGGCCCCUGGACAAAGACUGACGCUCAGGUGCGAAAGCGUGGGGAGCAAACAGGAUUAGAUACCCUGGUAGUCCACGCUGUAAACGAUGUCGACUUGGAGGUUGUGCCCUUGAGGCGUGGCUUCCGGAGCUAACGCGUUAAGUCGACCGCCUGGGGAGUACGGCCGCAAGGUUAAAACUCAAAUGAAUUGACGGGGGCCCGCACAAGCGGUGGAGCAUGUGGUUUAAUUCGAUGCAACGCGAAGAACCUUACCUGGUCUUGACAUCCACAGAAGUUUUCAGAGAUGAGAAUGUGCCUUCGGGAACUGUGAGACAGG
RNAcentral lists this ribosomal RNA (536 nucleotides) under uncultured Trabulsiella sp. RNAcentral describes it as "bacterial SSU rRNA". It matches the Rfam family "Bacterial small subunit ribosomal RNA", at positions 505 to 1038 of the family's 1533-position model. The record is from RNAcentral. Lineage: Bacteria; Pseudomonadati; Pseudomonadota; Gammaproteobacteria; Enterobacterales; Enterobacteriaceae.